This 253-nucleotide ribosomal RNA is filed under the name uncultured bacterium. RNAcentral describes it as "partial 16S ribosomal RNA". It matches the Rfam family "Bacterial small subunit ribosomal RNA", at positions 524 to 776 of the family's 1533-position model. The record is from RNAcentral.
UACGAAGGGGGCUAGCGUUGUUCGGAAUUACUGGGCGUAAAGCGCGCGCAGGCGGUUCUCCAAGUCAGUGGUGAAAGCCCGGAGCUCAACUCCGGAAUUGCCAUUGAAACUGUUGAACUUGAGGAUGAGAGAGGUGAGUGGAAUUCCCAGUGUAGAGGUGAAAUUCGUAGAUAUUGGGAAGAACACCGGUGGCGAAGGCGGCUCACUGGCUCAUUACUGACGCUCAGGCGCGAUAGCGUGGGGAUCAAACAGG